Molecule: ribosomal RNA, 334 nt
Filed under: uncultured eukaryote
Lineage: Eukaryota
Description: partial 18S ribosomal RNA
Rfam family: Eukaryotic small subunit ribosomal RNA
Source: RNAcentral
CCCUUAGAUGUCCGGGGCCGCACGCGCGCUACACUGAAGGAAUCAGCGUGGCUUUCUCCCUGACCCGAAAGGGUUGGGAAACCCGUUGAAUCUCCUUCGUGAUAGGGAUUGGGGCUUGAAAUUGUUCCCCAUGAACGAGGAAUUCCCAGUAAGCGCGAGUCAUAAGCUCGCGUUGAUUACGUCCCUGCCCUUUGUACACACCGCCCGUCGCUACUACCGAUUGAACGGUUUAGUGAGGGCUUCGGAUUGGUCUCGGCCCGCUCUUUACCGGGCGGCGCCGUUGGUCGAGAAGACGCUCGAACUUGAUCGUUUAGAGGAAGUAAAAGUCGUAACA